AGUGUCUUCGAAAAAGUCCGUUAGCAUCUAUCUUAGCAGUUUUCAGAAAAGGCUGAUUUACUGAAUCGAUGACGUCACUUACACUGAGAGUGUAACGUUAAUCGGCUGAAAACAAGUUCACAUGAGUUUUGAUAUUUCAUGAUAAACAGAUAUUAAUACAAAUUGUUCUGUGAUUUCAGGUGGACAGAAAGAAACUAUACAGAACAAAGUGAAACUCCAAGAUUUUUGAAAAGAAAAUUGUAUCUCCCUUCAGAAAUGUGGCUGAAGGGAGAUACUGACUUAGAAAUACAGGUGAACUCAUGAAAAGAAGCUCAUGAAAGAAGCUCAUGAAAUACAUUAAUAUGCCUUUUUCAGAAUAUAUUUCGCCAAAUUUAAGAAGUCCCUGACAUCAAAACAUGGCUUGUUUUGUUCCUGGACUCUUCAGUGAUGAUGAGCAGAGUCUGAGUGAACCUCCUGUCAGACAAUCACUAUUGCACACCAAAUGCUCUUACUCAGCAGAUGGGGACAGCUACCAUCACCCAAUUUUCACCCAAAAGUGGCUGCGCUACUCGCCAGACUGGGCAGGAGGGACUGGACGACAACUUAUGCAGGCAUCAGAUGACAAUGAAAUGUAAAUAAAGAGUAGAGAAGCUAAUAAACAUGAAUUUGAUUUUAAA
Molecule: long non-coding RNA, 656 nt
Organism: Carassius auratus (goldfish)
Lineage: Eukaryota; Metazoa; Chordata; Actinopteri; Cypriniformes; Cyprinidae
Exons: 6
Source: RefSeq, a predicted model, not a curated record